Molecule: long non-coding RNA, 416 nt
Filed under: Pollicipes pollicipes
Lineage: Eukaryota; Metazoa; Arthropoda; Thecostraca; Pollicipedomorpha; Pollicipedidae
Description: uncharacterized LOC119110359, transcript variant X2
Source: RNAcentral
CAAACUCUCCGAGUGUAACGGGAGCAAUGCACGUACCCCUCGUUUCCAAUCAUGUGUGUCAUAGUUUGAUGACCUCAGAGAACAAGUCCAGGAAGCAUGAAUUCAGCAAGCAAGGUGGGCGAGAUCUUUGUGGAGGCUGGCGAGGCGUUCAACCGGCUGGGUAAUAUGGCUGUGCAGCUACAACAGGCAUCACCCAAUGCCACCAACAGUGGAAAAUGGCGUGAGGAAGAAAUCGAAAUGCUUCAUGAAGCCGUGAAAAGAUUUGGCGCAGACCCUCAGAAGAUCGGCGAAAUCCUGAAAACACGAAGCGUGAGCCAGAUCCGUAACGCGCUCAAGACGAAAGCCUUUGGCGGAGCGCAGGCACACGGCGGGGCGGCGGCGCGGCCGCGGCCGGCGCCUAGCGCCAAACAGCAGGC